Long non-coding RNA from Sesamum indicum (sesame), 651 nucleotides. RefSeq lists it as uncharacterized. The record is from RefSeq and is a predicted model, not a curated record. NCBI's taxonomy places the organism in Eukaryota, Viridiplantae, Streptophyta, Magnoliopsida, Lamiales, Pedaliaceae.
AUUGACUGGUUUUUUUUACGAUUUUUGACCUCUUCUUGAAUUAAAAUUAAAUAAAAUGCUCUUAUUGAUAUGAUAUAUUAGAAAACCUGUUCUUAAAUUACUAUAAUGAAAGAUCUCAGAGAAUUGCUUCUUUUCAUCAGCUUCAAAGCUGUGCAGAAGGCUGCCCAACUGUGAGCCCCGCUUUUAGGAGCAGUUAUUGAUACUGUUGACCCUGUGUGGUGGAGGAGCAGCUAUUGAAUCAGCAAUUAUCCUACCAUCAAUUAUGCAAAGGGAAGAGCUUCUAGUUUCCUGCAUUAGGAUGCUACCUAAUACUUCCUAAGAUGUUGCAUUACUAAUUCUAUGCCAAGUCACUGCUAUUAAGGAUCUUGUCUUACUUCUAUGAUUGGCUACUGAUGCUGUGGCCAGAUAAAAUUUACAGGUCAUGUUUCCAUUACAGUUGAUCCCUUCUGCCUUUUGGAUAAUUGGGAUGGCUUCUCAUUGACUUGGUCAUUUUCCCUUACUACUAGAGGCAAUUAUCCUUGUCCGGUAUUGGUGAAGAGUUUUUCCACUGAUUUGUAUUCUUUUACCUUGAUAAAAACUGCUGGCAUCUUCUUUUGGCGUAAUUUCUUUGUGAAUUCUUCUGGUCAAAUUAAACAAUAUUUAGCUUGUACA